GGACCCGCACAAGCGGUGGAGUAUGUGGCUUAAUUCGAUGCAACGCGAAGAACCUUACCUAGGCUUGACAUGCAUCUCUAAACCGGUGAAAGCCGGGGAGCGGAGCAAUCCGUAAUUUGCACAGGUGCUGCAUGGCUGUCGUCAGCUCGUGUCGUGAGAUGUUUGUUAAGUCCAGCAACGAGCGCAACCCCUGUGAUUAGUUACCAGCACGUAAUGGUGGGGACUCUAGUCAGACUGCCCAGAUCAACUGGGAGGAAGGUGGGGACGACGUCAAGUCAGUAUGGUCCUUACGCCUAGGGCUGCACACGUACUACAAUGCCCAGUACAAUGUGAACCGAGACCGUAAGGUGGAGGAAA
RNAcentral lists this ribosomal RNA (357 nucleotides) under uncultured bacterium. Its description in RNAcentral is "bacterial SSU rRNA". It matches the Rfam family "Bacterial small subunit ribosomal RNA", at positions 917 to 1271 of the family's 1533-position model. The record is from RNAcentral.